This 265-nucleotide ribosomal RNA is filed under the name uncultured Glomeromycotina. RNAcentral's name for it is "partial 18S ribosomal RNA". It matches the Rfam family "Eukaryotic small subunit ribosomal RNA", at positions 619 to 888 of the family's 1831-position model. Lineage: Eukaryota; Fungi; Glomeromycota. The record is from RNAcentral.
UUAAAAAGCUCGUAGUUGAAUUUCGGGGUUAGUAGGUUGGUCAUGCCUCUGGUAUGUACUGGUCUCACUGAUUCCUCCUUCCUGAUGAGCCGUAAUGCCAUUAAUUUGGUGUUGCGGGGAAUUUGGACUGUUACUUCGAAAAAAUUAGAGUGUUUAAAGCAAGCUAACGCUUGAAUACAUUAGCAUGGAAUAAUGAAAUAGGACGUUCGAUCCUAUUUUGUUGGUUUCUAGGAUUGACGUAAUGAUUAAUAGGGAUAGUUGGGGG